AGUAGCUGGUUUGAGAGAACGAUCAGCCACACUGGGACUGAGACACGGCCCAGACUCCUCCGGGAGGCAGCAGUGAGGAAUUUUCCGCAAUGGGCGAAAGCCUGACGGAGCAAUACCGCGUGAGGGAUGAAGUAUCUUGGUAUGUAAACCUCUUUUCUCAAGAAAGAAGUUCUGACGGUACUUGAGGAAUAAGCAUCGGCUAACUCCGUGCCAGCAGCCGCGGUAAUACGGGGGAUGCAAGCGUUAUCCGGAAUCAUUGGGCGUAAAGCGCCUGUAGGUUGUUUAGUAAGUCCAUUGUUAAAGACCAGGGCUUAACCCUGGGAAAGCAAUAGAAACUACUAGACUUGAGUAUGGCAGGGGUAGAGGGAAUUUCUAGUGUAGCGGUGAAAUGCGUAGAUAUUAGAAAGAACACCGGUGGCGAAAGCGCUCUACUGGACCAUUACUGACACUGAGAGGCGAAAGCUAGGGUAGCAAAAGGGAUUAGAUACCCCUGUAGUCCUAGCCGUAAACGAUGGAUACUAGGUGUUGUGCAGUUCGUACAGUAUCUUAGCUAACGCGUUAAGUAUCCCGCCUGGGGAGUACGCUCGCAAGGGUGAAACUCAAAGGAAUUGACGGGGGCCCGCACAAGCGGUGGAGCAUGUGGUUUAAUUCGAUGAUACGCGAGGAACCUUACCAGGGCUUAAAUGUAGAGGGAAUAUUUUGGAAACAGAAUAGCCUUCGGGCCGUCUACAAGGUGCUGCAUGGCUGUCGUCAGCUCGUGUCGUGAGAUGUUGGGUUAAGUCCCGCAACGAGCGCAACCCUCGUUUUUAGUUGCCAAUUUAUUGGGUUUUCUAGAGAGACUGCCGGUGACAAACCGGAGGAAGGUGAGGAUGACGUCAAGUCAGCAUGCCCCUUAUGUCCUGGGCCACACACGUGCUACAAUGGCGGAGACAAAGAGUCGCAAACCUGCGAAGGCUAGCUAAUCUCAUAAACUUCGUCUAAGUUCGGAUUGUAGGCUGCAACUCGCCUACAUGAAGUUGGAAUCGCUAGUAAUCGCUGGUCAGCUAUACAGCGGUGAAUUCGUUCCCGGGCCUUGUACACACCGCCCGUCACACCAUGGGAGCUGGUCAUACCCAAUACCGUUAGUCUAACCAUUCGGAGGACAGCGCUUAAGGUAGGGCUAGUGACUGGGGUGAAGUCGUAACAAGGUAGCCGUACUGGAAGGUGCGGCUGGAUCACCUCCUU
Molecule: ribosomal RNA, 1224 nt
Filed under: Favella ehrenbergii
Lineage: Eukaryota; Ciliophora; Spirotrichea; Tintinnida; Xystonellidae
Description: partial Bacterial small subunit ribosomal RNA
Rfam family: Bacterial small subunit ribosomal RNA
Source: RNAcentral